GGCGAACGGGUGAGUAACACGUGGGUGAUCUGCCCUGCACUUCGGGAUAAGCCUGGGAAACUGGGUCUAAUACCGGAUAGGAGCCAUUUUUAGUGUGAUGGUUGGAAAGUUUUUUCGAUGUAGGAUGAGCUCGCGGCCUAUCAGCUUGUUGGUGGGGUAAUGGCCUACCAAGGCGGCGACGGGUAGCCGGCCUGAGAGGGUGGACGGCCACAUUGGGACUGAGAUACGGCCCAG
RNAcentral lists this ribosomal RNA (234 nucleotides) under uncultured Actinomycetales bacterium. Its description in RNAcentral is "partial 16S ribosomal RNA". It matches the Rfam family "Bacterial small subunit ribosomal RNA", at positions 97 to 334 of the family's 1533-position model. The record is from RNAcentral. Lineage: Bacteria; Bacillati; Actinomycetota; Actinomycetes; Actinomycetales.